GGGGAUCGGCCGGCGGGCUACACAUGCAAGUCGAACGGUAGCACAGAGAGCUUGCUCUCGGGUGACGAGUGGCGGACGGGUGAGUAAUGUCUGGGAAACUGCCUGAUGGAGGGGGAUAACUACUGGAAACGGUAGCUAAUACCGCAUAACGUCGCAAGACCAAAGAGGGGGACCUUCGGGCCUCUUGCCAUCAGAUGUGCCCAGAUGGGAUUAGCUAGUAGGUGGGGUAACGGCUCACCUAGGCGACGAUCCCUAGCUGGUCUGAGAGGAUGACCAGCCACACUGGAACUGAGACACGGUCCAGACUCCUACGGGAGGCAGCAGUGGGGAAUAUUGCACAAUGGGCGCAAGCCUGAUGCAGCCAUGCCGCGUGUAUGAAGAAGGCCUUCGGGUUGUAAAGUACUUUCAGCGGGGAGGAAGGCGAUAAGGUUAAUAACCUUGUUGAUUGACGUUACCCGCAGAAGAAGCACCGGCUAACUCCGUGCCAGCAGCCGCGGUAAUACGGAGGGUGCAAGCGUUAAUCGGAAUUACUGGGCGUAAAGCGCACGCAGGCGGGUCUGUCAAGUCGGAUGUGAAAUCCCCCGGGCUCAAACCUGGGAAAC
This 602-nucleotide ribosomal RNA is filed under the name Klebsiella sp. Its description in RNAcentral is "bacterial SSU rRNA". It matches the Rfam family "Bacterial small subunit ribosomal RNA", at positions 28 to 622 of the family's 1533-position model. The record is from RNAcentral. Lineage: Bacteria; Pseudomonadati; Pseudomonadota; Gammaproteobacteria; Enterobacterales; Enterobacteriaceae.